CCAGUCCUCUUAGGGGAGUAAUCAGCUUUGCAAGUAUGCAAAGAUUCUUUGUCAACAUAAUUGAGCCUCAUGCUCAUGGCAAAGAAAUUUGAACAACGUUGUUCGGAUUGAUGAGACUUAAGACAGUAACUUGGCUCAGGUGGGCACAGGUUGUUGUCUUUCGUUUGUCGCCCACCU
This 177-nucleotide small RNA is filed under the name Marinomonas spartinae. RNAcentral's name for it is "Manganese sequence". It matches the Rfam family "Manganese Mn2+ riboswitch aptamer (yybP-ykoY)". Rfam says of the family: This RNA was originally discovered in E. coli during a large scale screen and was named SraF. The family was later found to exist upstream of related families of protein genes in many bacteria, including the the yybP and ykoK genes in B. subtilis. The specific functions of these proteins are unknown, but this structured RNA element may be involved in their genetic regulation as a riboswitch. The record is from RNAcentral. Lineage: Bacteria; Pseudomonadati; Pseudomonadota; Gammaproteobacteria; Oceanospirillales; Oceanospirillaceae.